CAAACCAAAGCUGGCGACCGGCGCACGGGUGAGUAACACGUAUCCAACCUGCCUCAUACUCGGGGAUAGCCUUUCGAAAGAAAGAUUAAUAUCCGAUAGCAUAUAUUUCCCGCAUGGGUUUUAUAUUAAAGAAAUUCGGUAUGAGAUGGGGAUGCGUUCCACUAGUUUGUUGGGGGGGUAACGGCCCACCAAGACUACGAUGGAUAGGGGUUCUGAGAGGAAGGUCCCCCACAUUGGAACUGAGACACGGUCCAA
RNAcentral lists this ribosomal RNA (255 nucleotides) under uncultured bacterium. RNAcentral describes it as "partial 16S ribosomal RNA". It matches the Rfam family "Bacterial small subunit ribosomal RNA", at positions 74 to 334 of the family's 1533-position model. The record is from RNAcentral.